UAUAACCCUAAUACCCAAAUCACAGUUUCCUCUCAUCUCUUCACCUUCAUCACGACUGAAUCCUCCAUAACCCUAAUAUCCCUGUAAAGACUGCACACCAAUUCAUCACACCUCCGUCCACCACCAUGAGUUUUAUCAAUUGUGUACUUCGAUCACGAUUCAGUUCUGGUGAUCUACGCAGCCACCAUCACACUUUGCCGUAAACCUUUGUUCGAUGGAGCUUUGGGUCGUACCGUAACUACCAUUGCGCCAUCAGGAAAUUAGUUUGAAUUCUGUGAUAUUCAACACACCUAGCAAGAAUUUCAACGACUUAAAGCUCUAAAUUCAUUCACUAAGAAUGACACUGAAGAGUUCAUUGAUGAUCGUGAAUUAGCUCAACAGAAAGCUGAAGCAGCAGGUGCGUUUUUAUUAUAUAUACAUAUAGAUUUUUCCACUUUUCAAUUAUUAUAUAAAAGAAAAAUUUUGUAUUGAUUUCCCUCCCUUGUUUUGUAACCUUUGUUGUGACGUUAAUGCCUAUUACUGUGGUUUAAUUUUGAAAAAUAAUAGUUAUAACAAAGAUACAUUAGAUUUGGUGUGUGAGUGUGAGGAUCUGUUAUUAAAGGAGUUUGGAUUGUUGAAGAAGAACCCUUGAUAUAACAUCCAGUUGGCGGUGGUCAAGCCUAUCCGUGAGCCACAUGUAGCUGUCCAGAAAGUUGUUUAGGGUAAUCCUAAUCCUAGAAAUAUUUGUUGAAGCCAAAUCUUACACUUAUCUAUACACUGAUGAAGAAAAUGAUACGAUUGUGCUAAUGGAAAGGCAAUACCAGCCGCCAAUGGGAAUGAUAGGUAACCAAUCUUACGCUCUGGUAUGCAUCAUCUGAAUGUUGAUGACACUGAUCAUACUUCAAGAGCAACCACCAUGGCAUUUCAGGUACAUUAUUCUUUUUUUAACUAUUUAAAACAUUUUUCCCUUUUUUUACAUUACAAAUUAUACUAACUUUUCUAUUCUAGAGCUCGUAUGUGGAAGCUCUCCAAUCCCCAAUUUCCUUAUGUAUUAUAAUUUUCAUAUGCCAACAGUACCCCAGGCCCAAAGAUCUUAGUGAAGUUGCAUGGUUGAAUUGGGAUGGUAUGUCAUGUGUUUGUAUCAUUUUUGUAUAUAUGAGAACGUAUCACUAAAAUCACA
Helianthus annuus (common sunflower) is the source of this 1159-nucleotide long non-coding RNA. RefSeq lists it as uncharacterized. The record is from RefSeq and is a predicted model, not a curated record. The transcript has 5 exons. NCBI's taxonomy places the organism in Eukaryota, Viridiplantae, Streptophyta, Magnoliopsida, Asterales, Asteraceae.